UCGCUCCUUGAAAUCUACUAAUAAGGAGUCGUGCCUGCCCAGUGAAUUUUUUUAACGGCCGCAGUACCCUGACUGUGCUAAGGUAGCAUAAUCACUUGUUUAUUUAAUUGAAAGCUUGUAUGAAUGGCUUGACGUGAACAAAGCUGUCUCUUUAAUAUUAUAUAAAAAUUAUUCUUUAAGUGAAGAAACUUAAAUAUUCUUAAAAGACGAAAAGACCCUAUCGAGCUUUAAACUUAUAUUAAAUUAAAAAUUAUAGAAAAAUACACUUUAGUAACAGUUUUUUGUUGGGGCGACAGAAGAACCUAUUUAGCUUCUUUUUAUUAAAGAAAUUGAUAUAUUAUUUGAGCCAUAAAUUAUGAUAAAAGACAAAGUUACCGUAGGGAUAACAGCGUAAUUUUUUCAGAGAGUUCUAAUCGAAGAAAAAGUUUGCGACCUCGAUGUUGGAUUGAAGUAACUUUUAAGUGCAGCAGCUAAGAAAGUGGGUC
This 485-nucleotide ribosomal RNA is filed under the name Choriplax grayi. RNAcentral's name for it is "partial 16S ribosomal RNA". It matches the Rfam family "Bacterial large subunit ribosomal RNA", at positions 1816 to 2577 of the family's 2925-position model. The record is from RNAcentral. Lineage: Eukaryota; Metazoa; Mollusca; Polyplacophora; Chitonida; Choriplacidae.